RNAcentral lists this ribosomal RNA (497 nucleotides) under uncultured bacterium. RNAcentral's name for it is "partial 16S ribosomal RNA". It matches the Rfam family "Bacterial small subunit ribosomal RNA", at positions 28 to 507 of the family's 1533-position model. The record is from RNAcentral.
GAUGAACGCUGGCGGCGUGCCUAAUACAUGCAAGUCGAGCGAACAGACGAGGAGCUUGCUCCUCUGACGUUAGCGGCGGACGGGUGAGUAACACGUGGAUAACCUACCUAUAAGACUGGGAUAACUUCGGGAAACCUGAGCUAAUACCGGAUAACAUGUUGAACCGCAUGGUUCAACAGUGAAAGACGGUCUUGCUGUCACUUAUAGAUGGAUCCGCGCCGCAUUAGCUAGUUGGUAAGGUAACGGCUUACCAAGGCAACGAUGCGUAGCCGACCUGAGAGGGUGAUCGGCCACACUGGACCUGAGACACGGUCCAGACUCCUACGGGAGUCAGCAGUAGGGAAUCGGCCGCAAUGGGCGAAAGCCUGACGGGGCAACGCCGCGUGAGUGAAGAAGGUCUUCGGAUCGUAAAACUCUGUUAUUAGGGAAGAACAAAUGUGUAAGUACAUAUGCACGUCUUGACGGUACCUAAUCAGAAAGCCACGGCUAACUACGUG